UACGAGGGGUCCUAGCGUUGUUCGGAAUCAUUGGGCGUAAAGCGUCUGUAGGCGGCUUUGUAAGUCAGGUGUGAAAUCCCCAGGCUCAACCUGGGAACUGCGUCUGAUACUGGAUGGCUUGAAUCCGGGAGAGGGAUGCAGAAUUCCAGGUGUAGCGGUGAAAUGCGUAGAUAUCUGGAGGAAUACCGGUGGCGAAGGCGGCAUCCUGGGAUAACACUGACGCUCAUGCACGAAAGCGUGGGGAGCAAACAGG
This 253-nucleotide ribosomal RNA is filed under the name uncultured bacterium. Its description in RNAcentral is "partial 16S ribosomal RNA". It matches the Rfam family "Bacterial small subunit ribosomal RNA", at positions 524 to 776 of the family's 1533-position model. The record is from RNAcentral.